GACGAACGCUGGCGGCGUGCUUAACACAUGCAAGUCGAACGGAAAGGCCCUGCUUUUGUGGGGUGCUCGAGUGGCGAACGGGUGAGUAACACGUGAGUAACCUGCCCUUGACUUUGGGAUAACUUCAGGAAACUGGGGCUAAUACCGGAUAGGAGCUCCUGCUGCAUGGUGGGGGUUGGAAAGUUUCGGCGGUUGGGGAUGGACUCGCGGCUUAUCAGCUUGUUGGUGGGGUAGUGGCUUACCAAGGCUUUGACGGGUAGCCGGCCUGAGAGGGUGACCGGCCACAUUGGGACUGAGAUACGGCCCAGACUCCUACGGGAGGCAGCAGUGGGGAAUAUUGCACAAUGGGCGGAAGCCUGAUGCAGCAACGCCGCGUGCGGGAUGACGGCCUUCGGGUUGUAAACCGCUUUCGCCUGUGACGAAGCGUGAGUGACGGUAAUGGGUAAAGAAGCACCGGCUAACUACGUGCCAGCAGCCGCGGUGAUACGUAGGGUGCGAGCGUUGUCCGGAUUUAUUGGGCGUAAAGGGCUCGUAGGUGGUUGAUCGCGUCGGAAGUGUAAUCUUGGGGCUUAACCCUGAGCGUGCUUUCGAUACGGGUUGACUUGAGGAAGGUAGGGGAGAAUGGAAUUCCUGGUGGAGCGGUGGAAUGCGCAGAUAUCAGGAGGAACACCAGUGGCGAAGGCGGUUCUCUGGGCCUUUCCUGACGCUGAGGAGCGAAAGCGUGGGGAGCGAACAGGCUUAGAUACCCUGGUAGUCCACGCUGUAAACGGUGGGUACUAGGUGUGGGGUCCAUUCCACGGGUUCCGUGCCGUAGCUAACGCUUUAAGUACCCCGCCUGGGGAGUACGGCCGCAAGGCUAAAACUCAAAGGAAUUGACGGGGCCCCGCACAAGCGGCGGAGCAUGCGGAUUAAUUCGAUGCAACGCGUAGAACCUUACCUGGGUUUGACAUGGAUCGGGAGUGCUCAGAGAUGGGUGUGCCUCUUUUGGGGUCGGUUCACAGGUGGUGCAUGCCUGUCGUCAGCUCGUGUCGUGAGAUGUUGGGUUAAGUCCCGCAACGAGCGCAAUCCUUGUUCACUGUUGCCAGCACGUUAUGGUGGGGACUCAAUGGAGACCGCCGGGGUCAACUCGGAGGAAGGUGGGGAUGACGUCAAGUCAUCAUGCCCCUUAUGUCCAGGGCUUCACGCAUGCUACAAUGGCUGGUACAGAGAGUGGCGAGCCUGUGAGGGUGAGCGAAUCUCGGAAAGCCGGUCUCAGUUCGGAUUGGGGUCUGCAACUCGACCUCAUGAAGUCGGAGUCGCUAGUAAUCGCAGAUCAGCAACGCUGCGGUGAAUACGUUCCCGGGGCU
Molecule: ribosomal RNA, 1346 nt
Filed under: uncultured bacterium
Lineage: Bacteria
Description: partial 16S ribosomal RNA
Rfam family: Bacterial small subunit ribosomal RNA
Source: RNAcentral